This 445-nucleotide ribosomal RNA is filed under the name uncultured bacterium. RNAcentral describes it as "partial 16S ribosomal RNA". It matches the Rfam family "Bacterial small subunit ribosomal RNA", at positions 354 to 796 of the family's 1533-position model. The record is from RNAcentral.
GUAAGGAAUAUUGGACAAUGGACGCAAGUCUGAUCCAGCCAUGCCGCGUGGAGGAUUAAGGUCCUCUGGAUUGUAAACUUCUUUUAUAAGGGACGAAAAAAGGCUUUUCUAAGUCGUCUGACGGUACCUUAUGAAUAAGCACCGGCUAACUCCGUGCCAGCAGCCGCGGUAAUACGGAGGGUGCAAGCGUUAUCCGGAUUCACUGGGUUUAAAGGGUGCGUAGGCGGGCAGGUAAGUCAGUGGUGAAAUCCUAGAGCUUAACUCUAGAACUGCCAUUGAUACUAUCUGUCUUGAAUAUUGUGGAGGUAAGCGGAAUAUGUCAUGUAGCGGUGAAAUGCUUAGAUAUGACAUAGAACACCUAUUGCGAAGGCAGCUUACUACGCAUAUAUUGACGCUGAGGCACGAAAGCGUGGGGAUCAAACAGGAUUAGAUACCCCGGUAGUCC